Molecule: long non-coding RNA, 2290 nt
Organism: Helianthus annuus (common sunflower)
Lineage: Eukaryota; Viridiplantae; Streptophyta; Magnoliopsida; Asterales; Asteraceae
Exons: 2
Source: RefSeq, a predicted model, not a curated record
AGAAUCAGUUGGUGGAUCCUAUAUACACGUUAUAACCCGGUUUCCUAUCUUAGAACCCUAAUUGUCGUUCUAACUCAAUAACCCUGUUCGAUUAAAGAGCUUACAAUUCUAAGUUCCAUCACUUCUAUCUCCCCCAGACUCAAACGUCGUUCAUUUGAUUUUAGCAGUUAUUUACAACCGUAUGUCAAUUUUCGUUCAUCCCUUUAUUGUAAAUGCUUUCCAGGUUAAGGAUUACGUGUUCUUCUUAAUCAAUUGGUAAGAUUUUUUCUAUAGUAGUUUAUGUUACGGUAAACUUGGUAAAGUAUACAUUCGAUUUCUUUAAUUGAUGUUAGUUAAAGAUUUUUUCAAACGUCUCUGGCCACUGUUUCUGCUUUCAUGAGGAAUUCCUUUGGGUAGUGGGAGAAAACUGGUUUUGAAUUUUGAAAUUAUGAACGACAAAUACUAUUUUUCUUUAAAUUUCAUUUGUUAUGUUUAUUGUUCUGAAAGGGAAGAACAUGGUGCUGAAACAAUUCCAUCCUUGCCGCUCAUCUUGAGAAACAAAAGAUUGAUAUAAGAAUUCUAAUUUCUAUUUGUCGAUCAAAAGCCUGUUCCUUCACUUCGGAUCUGUUUGAAUGACCUGGGUAUUAAUGGUGUUUUGUUUCAUAUGAUAUCAUUUUUGCCAUUCAAGUUUGUUGUUUAAGUACUCUAAAUGGAGCAUAUAAGUGAAUGGGUCAAAAUUAAGUGUUUGUGAAGUAACAUGAUUUUGUUGUGUGUGAUCUGAGUUCCAAGUGAUGGAUUUUCUUUCAUGAUAUUUACCACCAUUUAUUUGGUUCGUUAGUACUAAAACAUUGGCGAAGCAUAGUGGGGGCGGGAGGGGGCGGUCGACCUCCCCAAACUUUUCGCUCAGUAGUGCAAAGUAUGUAGUUUUCGUAUAAAAUUUUUUGGGUAUAUACAUUUUCGACCCCCCGUUUUAUAGAAAUUUUUGGGUAUAUACGUUUUCUACACCCCGUCAGAAAUCUCAAGCUUCGUCACUGUACUAAAACACUUUUUGGUUAUGGUACUACAUGCUUAAACAAGUUCAGGCAGUCGGAAUCUUAGUUGAACUAUAUCAGGUAUAUUUCUCAUUACCAAAGAAAUGUUGUGCGAUAAUUCAACAUCUUUUAUAUCAUACUUAUUAAGGUAGUGUACCUAUGUUGUUCGGUUGGGCCACAAAUGCAUAGAUCCAACUGAAGCAUAUAGAAUAUAAAUAAAGCAUAGAUCCGAACACUUAAAACCACUAUUCAAAUUUGAAUUGAUUAGCUAACUUAUUCAAUAUCUUUUAAAAAAUUAUUGUACUUGCUCGGUUUAAUGUUGAAGUAGAAUAGUUACUUUGCUUAUACUACCCAAUAUCCCCUCUAAUAGAGGGUGCUUUUUUUGUAUUUUGAAUAAUUUUCAAAGUGCAUGACAUGGUUGCAUCUUCACUAAUCAAAAGCAUGUUGUUAUAAUGACUAUUUUAAUUGUAAAUAGGCUAAUUACAUCUAUUGACUUUAUUAUGCAAAAAGUCCACUUUAUGCCAUCAAAAUGUAAAGAAAAAAAAUGUUUUUUUUUUGCAACUCUAAAACCAUUCAAAGUCUGGUGUGGAUGUUGCAAUUCUAUGAUUGUAGAGGGUGUAAGGUUUAAUGUUGAAAAGAAGCAAGUGGGGAAUUAUUAUUCCACGAAAGGUAAACUGCAUUUUUUGAACUCAUGAAUAAUAUCAUCUGUUCACUCUUUUGUCUCGAGUUUCUUUUGGUGAUUCUUGCUCCUUACUUAAUAUAGAACAUCACUAUGAAAUCUACAUGCCGCCAGCAUGAAAUUGUAAUUCAUACCUAUCCAAAGAACAUUGAAUAUCUUGUCAUUAGCGGUGCUCAAAAUAAGGUUGAAGAGUUUGAUACCAAAGAUGAAGAAACUGUGGCACUCCCUAUUGAUGAAGAGAGAAGCAAGUAAACAGAUUCUUUCUAUCGCCUUGAACACCAAGAAGAGGAUUUAAUAAAUAAAAAAGUAGAGUCAUUGCUGGUGCGACUUCAAAGAGUAUCCGAUGCUAUACAUUUGGACGAUUACUCCAUAAACAAGUCAUUGUGUGCCAAACUUAGAAUAUAGACUUUUCGCUAAUCAAGCAUUUAAAAUUGGUUUUAAAAAGUGUGCUCAUGCGCCAAGCGAUUUGAAAAAUGCUUAAGAUCCUUCGGGCGGUGUUCAUGUACAUGUUGGUCAAAUUAGUCAAGUAUAGGGCACCGAGGAGGCGGAAAUGUAAAAAUGACGAAUAUGAUGAAGAUAUUAUGAAUAGUUUAUUUGAUUA